CCAAAGUCGAAAUCAAACAUGGGCGAAGACACGAGAACUUAAAAACAUCAUUGAGUGCAGCGUUGAUGAUACUGUACCCGUGUUAUAAUCGGGCAUUCUUUCAACAAUGCUACACUCAAUAAUGUUUUUAAUUCUAUGGGGGAAUUCACAAUUCAAAACUAUAAAUGGGUAUUUUCUGAUUUUCAUUUACAUUUGAAAUAUAUUUACAUAAUGAUGCCAUUAUCGAACAUAAAUUUGACUAUUACAAAGUUGAAAUAUUAUCAUAAAUUUUUUGACAUUACUUUUCCUUUUCUUUUGCACGUUUCCAUUCUUUCAUCAUUUUUUGGGUUUAUUAAAAUUAUUAUAUCUUACCGAUAAGAUUUUUGAAGGUUUAUUUUGAAAUUAUGAUGAAUAUUUAUGAAAGAAAAUCAAUAUGACUUCAAGACAACUUUUAUGAUAAUUCUUGUAGGUUAAAUAUUAUAAUUCUUCUAUUUUAAUUGUUGUUGACUUUUUGUUAUUAAUUAAUUUUCCUGUUUUUUAAUAUUUUUACACGAAUUAAUUUGUAUAUUUCCAACAUAUUUCUCAAUAUUGUCACUAUUGGAAAAACAUGGUUUCCAUUAAGAAGAUGGCGUGUAAUUUUCAUUUAUUAAACAAUAAAUAAAUAGAUUAUUUUAUAUUUUCUGAAUGAAGUACAACCAUUAUUAUCCAUUUUGGGGAAAAAAAAAUAUCCCUAACAUAUAUUUAUUUGAAUUUUUAUAAUAAGAAGAGGAUAGAUAAUUUUUUUUUGAAAAACAAAUAGGGAAUGCAUCGUCAUCACAAGCAAGAACUGAUUUUCAACCCCAGUCCUAUUCUAAGAACUCGAUUAUGCAAUGAAUCUUCGAUUCAAGGGGCUUAGGAUGGGAGAAUUGGUCUUGAGGGCAUUAUUCGAGAUGGGAUAGACUUAGUGCUCGUGACUCUUGUAGCUAGGGUGGAUGGUCUUUUGUUCAAAAGUGGUCGAGUCAAUGGCUUUCUAUUUCAAUCUCCAUUUUGCAGUCGAUAAUGACUUUGAAAUCUAAUGUUGAAAGUCAAUAAUGACUUUCAAUGCUCUUUCUAUUUUCCUGAUAUUUCAAUGUUGUUAAUGAAAGUGAAACAUUGUACGUAUUGUUAUUUUUUUAUCCUAUAACAUGGGUCAUAAUUUCGCAUUUUUCGUUGUUUUUUCUUUGAUGAACGUUUA
This 1192-nucleotide long non-coding RNA is filed under the name Olea europaea subsp. europaea. The stretch from base 38 to 130 matches the Rfam family "MIR397 microRNA precursor family". The record is from RNAcentral. Lineage: Eukaryota; Viridiplantae; Streptophyta; Magnoliopsida; Lamiales; Oleaceae.